This 497-nucleotide ribosomal RNA is filed under the name uncultured bacterium. RNAcentral's name for it is "bacterial SSU rRNA". It matches the Rfam family "Bacterial small subunit ribosomal RNA", at positions 397 to 905 of the family's 1533-position model. The record is from RNAcentral.
CCGCGUGGGGGAUGAAGGCCUUCGGGUUGUAACCCCUUUCAGCAGGGAAGAAGCGAAAGUGACGGUACCUGCAGAAGAAGCGCCGGCUAACUACGUGCCAGCAGCCGCGGUAAUACGUAGGGCGCAAGCGUUGUCCGGAAUUAUUGGGCGUAAAGAGCUCGUAGGCGGUUUGUCGCGUCUGCUGUGAAAUCCUGAGGCUCAACCUCGGGCUUGCAGUGGGUACGGGCAGACUAGAGUGCGGUAGGGGUGACUGGAAUUCCUGGUGUAGCGGUGGAAUGCGCAGAUAUCAGGAGGAACACCGAUGGCGAAGGCAGGUCACUGGGCCGCAACUGACGCUGAGGAGCGAAAGCAUGGGGAGCGAACAGGAUUAGAUACCCUGGUAGUCCAUGCCGUAAACGUUGGGCACUAGGUGUGGGGCUCAUUCCACGAGUUCCGUGCCGCAGCAAACGCAUUAAGUGCCCCGCCUGGGGAGUACGGCCGCAAGGCUAAAACUCAAG